AGCACCAGGGAGAGCUGCCUGUGCCUGGCAGAAGCUGCCCAUGCCCCACUGAUACCCCACAGUACUUCCUGUUCUGCUCAGUACUCCUGCUUCUUUCUACAAACAACUGUGAUUCUCUACCUGGGAGCUUCCUCUGGCCACAGGAGCCUGCUCACCUGAUUGGGACACCCUAGCAGUACUGUGCUUCCUGGAAUCAUCUCCCUCAUCAAUCAUUUGUUCCUAAAUUCUGUCUGAGUCUGUUUCUGAGGAAACCCAACCUGAGUCAUUGUCCCUCUUCUCCCCUCCUCACAUUCUCUUCACUGGGGGAGGAUGGAUUGAGUUGACUGGCAAAUUCGGGAGAAGGAGUUUGCAUCGGAGUGCGUGACUCAGCUGAGGCUGGGCUCUGUUUCUUCAGAAUGAGUGCAUUCAGAUUCGAUGUGUAUCCUGUCUCCGGGAAGCCCCAUGCUCUGCUCAUCUUAGCAUGAUUACUAAGGUACACUCUGCCCUUGCAAGGGGAAGGCCCGAGAUUUGCUGCUGGCAGGCUCAGUGGGAGUUGGAUGUUUUAUGUAACCUGAUUGUGGAUAUAGAUCAAUUCAUGCUUUUCAAUUCAGUCCUCUCUCUAAUAAACUGCUGUCAUAA
RNAcentral lists this non-coding RNA (618 nucleotides) under Pan troglodytes (chimpanzee). Lineage: Eukaryota; Metazoa; Chordata; Mammalia; Primates; Hominidae. The record is from RNAcentral.